UUACACAAUUUCGUCAGAUUUCCACCACACAAGGUGAAUUGAAUUUUCAUGCAUGAAUACGCCAAAGUCAGGUCUUGACUGAUGUUUUUGUUGGCUAGUACUUGAUGAUCACAUACAAAGGUAAUUGUACGAAACACUACUGCUGGCCGACUACCGUGGAUAAGCACGGAUUUAAGCGGUGUGCAUGGUGGUUCUGGUUACCAAACAAAAUUCCUUUAUCGUUCCAGAAUACAUAUUCCCUUUGUCCGUCUAGUAUGUAGUUUGCUUUGCUUUGCCUGCCGUGCAUAACUUGACUAUUAGCAAUCUGAAUUUGUUUAACGAGAAUACUCUGGCAGAAAAAAAAGAACCCAAAUCGGUUAAAAACUCUUGAACAUUAAAGGAUUUUCCAGUCUAGUUUACUUUGUACACACACACGGAAUGCAAACUUUGGUCGUUUUUUUGUACCUUUUUUUAGCCACAGGCUGUCCUUUCUAUAUAACCACAGUCAACUCACCUUCAACUAAAAACAAAGCACAUCCGGAUAAAGUAAAAUAUAAAAAGAACACAAUUUGGAAGAUCCUUUAAAAGCAUCUCAAUCUAAUUUUCAUCUAAAGAGAAGAGAAGAAAGCAGCCAGGCAGGCAUGCAUUUACUGGAAAUUGGAAUUAAGUUCUUCAAUACGUGCGCUUUCCAAUUCUCGUCACCGUGAAAAAUCUAGGUCAAAAAUCGUAUCUGGGAAAAUGAUGUGCAACAACAACAACAGAAUCGGAUUCCUGUGUGAGUUUUGGAGGCUCGGUUUACAUGAAAUCUAAUCUCAAAUCGGAGUGCAAUGCAUGAUUGAGGCCGAUGCGUCAAAAAGUAUUUGUAUUAUUGAGCUUAUCUUGAACUAAUGGUUUUCUGAAAAAAAUAACCUGG
Long non-coding RNA from Folsomia candida, 892 nucleotides. RefSeq lists it as uncharacterized. NCBI's taxonomy places the organism in Eukaryota, Metazoa, Arthropoda, Collembola, Entomobryomorpha, Isotomidae. The transcript has 3 exons. The record is from RefSeq and is a predicted model, not a curated record.